Non-coding RNA from Podarcis lilfordi (Lilford's wall lizard), 76 nucleotides. Lineage: Eukaryota; Metazoa; Chordata; Lepidosauria; Squamata; Lacertidae. The record is from the annotation of a GenBank genome assembly.
UCACUCAUGGCUCAGUUGGUAGAGCAUGGGACUCUUAACCUAGGGGGUUGUGGAUUCAAGCCCCACAUUUGGUGAA